Long non-coding RNA from Gastrolobium bilobum, 432 nucleotides. RefSeq lists it as uncharacterized. NCBI's taxonomy places the organism in Eukaryota, Viridiplantae, Streptophyta, Magnoliopsida, Fabales, Fabaceae. The transcript has 3 exons. The record is from RefSeq and is a predicted model, not a curated record.
GAAAAGUGUGGAUAUGGAGAUGCAAGAGCAUUUGGGGUAUGCGUUUGUUCAUUAUGACCGCCAGUGCUAGACAUCACAUGGGAUUGAUCAUUGGGACGAUUUGUAAGGUGUAACUAAAGCGAUGUCAAAAAAACAUUCCGCACACAUUAAGAGGUUUGAACCAGGAUCCGAAAGGAAGAGAGAAGAACAUAAAAGGAAAUAAGAAGACUUAGUCGUGCAUCAAGUCAUCAACCCUAGCUAGUCCUUAAUUACUGCUUAGAUCGAAUUUUAAAGCAAUAUAUGAAGAAAGAGGCAUAAUUUUCUAGUAGUGUGACUAUGACAUAGGCACAUACCUUGAUUUUGUGGUGGUUGGAGUUGUUCAUUCUCUGAAGCACUGGAUUGGGACGCUGUUAUUGGAUCUAUAUGCACUGGAUUGCCACCAAUGACUUGAAC